GCGAUCGCGCGCAUAGAUACAAAUAUAACAGAUACGCGGCGAAGAGACCUCUCUCUAUAAAAAUAAUAUACCUUUUUUGGUACACCUUAUCCAGGUUACCUGUUCUCGAGUGCCACACGAUCAGUUCAGUUUAGUACAAACGAUCGUAGUGAUCAGUUGGUUUUUAAAAGAUACAUUUUUUUUUUUAAUUUUUUGGAUUUUUGAAUAAAACAAUUAAAAUUGUGUUCUAAGACUUUGAAAAAAUUGUAGACCUCGCGUUGAGACCUUCGAUCAUAAAAUUGAUCUUUAAAAAAGAUACAUUUUUAUCUUUGUACUUUAUUGUUGUUGUAUUUAAACGAAGUGCUAAUUUUGAGAUAGCCUGACUUUUAUGACGAUUUCGGUAUUUUUGUGUUGACCAAAAAAAAAAAUAACGAGAAGAUAUCUCUAUCAGAAUUGAAGAUAUCUUGAGAGAGCUUAUUGAAAAAUCGACCAUGAAGAUUGGCAUAAAAUUGGUUAUUGAACCUGAAAAGAGUCCCACCCGAAAUCGGAGCAGGCUCACCGGAGGCAGUUUUAUUUAUUUAUUUUUUUCCUUAAAGAAAAAAAAAAAAAAAACAUUUAAAAAAAGAGAACCUUGAACAGUGAACACACAUAACAUCGUUCGCAUUUUAUGGAUAUUUUGAGUAAUUCGAUAUUAUGCCGAAAAGUGAUCGUGUUGCGAUUUAUUAAGUGUAUGAGUAUAAAAAAUGAAAAAAAAAAGUAUAAAAAUUGAUACACGAAAUAAAAAGUUAGAAGCGCCUCGAUUGGAAAAAAAAAAAUAAAACCGCUUGAAAUAUGAUCAAAGUUGAAAGAAGUUGGAAUUUGUGCUCGGCGAUCGGUAAACGAACUGCUGCUGGCUGGCGCUGUUUGAUGGCUGGUUGAUUGUAUUUUUAUGAAAAAACAAGGAAAUAUCGGAGUCAAACUUACUACUGUGGAAAACAUUCAUUUGAAGGAAUCAGCAGCUGUCGCAUGCCAUCGACAUGAACAUUGAUGUCAAUCAGAGAGAGGCUUCUGUGGCAAAAAAAGUCGUUAUAUGAAUGGUGAGUUAGGAGAAGAUCAAAAAAAACUUAAACAGGAACUAGUGAUGGAAGUAAAGAUUCGCUCGAAGGAUUUAUAGCUUCAAUUUACACGUGGAGGUAGAAAAAAUAGCAUCUUUUGCAACUAGAUUGACUUCUAUGAUAUUUAUGCAGGUUUGAGUGCAAAUUUAUUUAUUGUUUUAUUUAUAUUUUUCUACUGUUUUAUGAAAUUUUAAUGACUACAGAAAUGAGAUGAAGAAAAUAAAGUUUAAGAUAAAUUUAUCGCUAACGUAGUGAUAUCAAAAAAAUUGAAUUAAAUAUGUCUCCAACAACUGUUGACCAGGUUUUGUUAUAAUUUAUGGUUAUUAGAGAAUAUUGCUUGAUGAUUGCAUGUUUUUUUUUAAUAGGUAGUUUGUGAGGCAGAGUUAAGAGUUUUAGAAGAUUUCACAAAAAAAAAAAAGCUGAAAAUUGUUCAAUAAAAUAGAAUGGACAUUUCUCAAUUCACAGCAUAGGUAAUUGCAGUAAAGUUGAUUGAUAUUUUAAUUGUUUCAAUCUCAAUAUUUACGGUCGAUAAACUUUAAUUGACUAUUAGCCCAGGUGCGUUGCUAAUAAAAAAAAAAGCUUUAACUUAAACGAACCGGAAACGUUGAUAAACUUUUUCAUAUAACUGUCAUGAUCAAGCAAUAAACAAUCUUUGUACCUGAUACAAUUCUGUCAAUUUUAAUUAUAAUUUUUUUUUCUAUUCCAUUUAGCUGAAUGUAUUGA
Molecule: long non-coding RNA, 1796 nt
Organism: Episyrphus balteatus (marmalade hoverfly)
Lineage: Eukaryota; Metazoa; Arthropoda; Insecta; Diptera; Syrphidae
Exons: 3
Source: RefSeq, a predicted model, not a curated record